UGGGGAAUAUUGCACAAUGGGCGAAAGCCUGAUGCAGCAACGCCGCGUGAGUGAUGAAGGUCUUCGGAUUGUAAAGCUCUGUCUUUUGGGACGAUAAUGACGGUACCAAAGGAGGAAGCCACGGCUAACUACGUGCCAGCAGCCGCGGUAAUACGUAGGUGGCGAGCGUUGUCCGGAUUUACUGGGCGUAAAGGGUGCGUAGGCGGAUGUUUAAGUGAGAUGUGAAAUACCCGGGCUUAACUUGGGUGCUGCAUUUCAAACUGGAUAUCUAGAGUGCAGGAGAGGAGAAUGGAAUUCCUAGUGUAGCGGUGAAAUGCGUAGAGAUUAGGAAGAACACCAGUGGCGAAGGCGAUUCUCUGGACUGUAACUGACGCUGAGGCACGAAAGCGUGGGUAGCAAACAGGAUUAGAUACCCUGGUAGUCCACGCCGUAAACGAUGAGUACUAGGUGUAGGAGGUAUCGACCCCUUCUGUGCCGCAGUAAACA
RNAcentral lists this ribosomal RNA (486 nucleotides) under uncultured bacterium. RNAcentral describes it as "partial 16S ribosomal RNA". It matches the Rfam family "Bacterial small subunit ribosomal RNA", at positions 355 to 857 of the family's 1533-position model. The record is from RNAcentral.